GUAAGGAAUAUUGGACAAUGGGCGGAAGCCUGAUCCAGCCAUGCCGCGUGAAGGAUGAAGGCGCUCAGCGUUGUAAACUUCUUUUGGAUGGGAACAAUAAUCGAGACUUGUCUUGACUUGAGGGUACCAUCAGAAUAAGCACCGGCUAACUCCGUGCCAGCAGCCGCGGUAAUACGGAGGGUGCAAGCGUUAUCCGGAAUCACUGGGUUUAAAGGGUGCGUAGGCGGUCCGAUAAGUCAGCCGUGAAAUCGCUGGGCUUAACCCAUGCAAUUGCGGUUGAUACUGUCGGACUUGAAUGGGGUUGAGGCUGGCGGAAUGCGACAUGUAGCGGUGAAAUGCUUAGAUAUGUCGCAGAACACCGAUUGCGAAGGCAGCCAGCUGGGCCUUUAUUGACGCUGAGGCACGAAAGCGUGGGGAGCAAACAGGAUUAGAAACCCUGGUAGUCC
Molecule: ribosomal RNA, 446 nt
Filed under: uncultured bacterium
Lineage: Bacteria
Description: partial 16S ribosomal RNA
Rfam family: Bacterial small subunit ribosomal RNA
Source: RNAcentral